Delphinapterus leucas (beluga whale) is the source of this 107-nucleotide small nuclear RNA. The record is from Ensembl. Lineage: Eukaryota; Metazoa; Chordata; Mammalia; Artiodactyla; Monodontidae.
GUGCUCGCUUCAGCAGCACAUACACUACAAUUGGAACCAUACAGAGAAGAUUAGCGCGGGCCCUGCACGAGGAUGGCACGCAAAUUCGUAAAGCACUCAUUUUUUUU